Molecule: ribosomal RNA, 1382 nt
Filed under: uncultured bacterium
Lineage: Bacteria
Description: 16S ribosomal RNA
Rfam family: Bacterial small subunit ribosomal RNA
Source: RNAcentral
AGAGUUUGAUCCUGGCUCAGGAUGAACGCUGGCGGCCCGCCUAACACAUGCAAGUCGAACGGAGUUUAGAGGAGCUUGCUUUUCUAAACUUAGUGGCGGACGGGUGAGUAACACGUGAGCAACCUGCCUUUCAGAGAGGGAUAGCUUCUGGAAACGGAUGGUAAUACCUCAUAACAUAUCGUGAUGGCAUCAUCGUGAUAUCAAAGAUUUAUCGCUGAGAGAUGGGCUCGCGUCUGAUUAGCUUGUUGGUGAGGUAACGGCCCACCAAGGCAACGAUCAGUAGCCGGACUGAGAGGUUGAACGGCCACAUUGGGACUGAGACACGGCCCAGACUCCUACGGGAGGCAGCAGUGGGGAAUAUUGCACAAUGGGCGCAAGCCUGAUGCAGCGAUGCCGCGUGAGGGAAGAAGGUUUUCGGAUUGUAAACCUCUGUCAACAGGGACGAAAAUGACGGUACCUGUGAAGGAAGCUCCGGCUAACUACGUGCCAGCAGCCGCGGUAAUACGUAGGGAGCAAGCGUUAUCCGGAAUUACUGGGUGUAAAGGGAGCGUAGACGGCAUGGCAAGUCUGAAGUGAAAGCCUGGGGCUCAACCCCGGAACUGCUUUGGAAACUGUUAAGCUAGAGUGCAGGAGAGGUAAGUGGAAUUCCUAGUGUAGCGGUGAAAUGCCUACAUAUUAGGAGGAACACCAGCGGGCGAAGGCGGGCUUACUGGCACUGUAACUGACGUUUGAGGCUCGAAAGCGUGGGGGAGCAAACCGGAUUAGAUACCCUGGUAGUCCACGCUGUAAACGAUGAUUACUAGGUGUUGGAUAGUAUGACUAUUCGGUGCCGCCGCUAACGCAUUAAGUAAUCCACCUGGGGAGUACGUUCGCAAGAAUGAAACUCAAAGGAAUUGACGGGGACCCGCACAAGCGGUGGAGCAUGUGGUUUAAUUCGAAGCAACGCGAAGAACCUUACCAAAUCUUGACAUCCCGAUGACCAGCUAUGUAAUGUAGCCUCUCUUCGGAGCAUCGGUGACAGGUGGUGCAUGGUUGUCGUCAGCUCGUGUCGUGAGAUGUUGGGUUAAGUCCCGCAACGAGCGCAACCCUUAUCCUUAGUAGCCAGCGGUUUGGCCGGGCACUCUGGGGAGACUGCCAGGGAUAACCUGGAGGAAGGUGGGGAUGACGUCAAAUCAUCAUGCCCCUUAUGAUUUGGGCUACACACGUGCUACAAUGGCGUAAACAAAGUGAAGCGAAGUCGUGAGGCCAAGCAAAUCACAAAAAUAACGUCUCAGUUCGGAUUGUAGUCUGCAACUCGACUACAUGAAGCUGGAAUCGCUAGUAAUCGCAGAUCAGAAUGCUGCGGUGAAUACGUUCCCGGGUCUUGUACACACCGCCCGUCA